GUUUUUGUAUUUAGCCACCCUCUCGGGCAGACAGUUUCACAUUCAGUUACAGAGUUUGUAUAGGUCGCGCAGCCUGCAGCGGGCACUUUCGCACCCACCUCGACCACGCGCACAGUGCACAGGGGUUUGAGUGGUCACAGGAGACGCCCGCCCGCGCUCAGGCCCAAGGAGCCGAGCGCAGGGGCAGAAGCCUCCCGGCACAUUCGUUAAUGAUCCUUCCGCAGGUUCACCUACGGAAA
This 239-nucleotide unclassified non-coding RNA is filed under the name uncultured fungus. RNAcentral describes it as "sequence contains ITS1". The record is from RNAcentral. Lineage: Eukaryota; Fungi.